UGGGGGAUAUUGCGCAAUGGGCGAAAGCCUGACGCAGCGACGCCGCGUGGGUGAUGAAGGCCUUCGGGUCGUAAAGCCCUGUCGAGGGGGAAGAACCGGUCGAGACCCAACACGUCUCGGCCCUGACGGUGCCCCUAAAGGAAGCACCGGCUAACUCCGUGCCAGCAGCCGCGGUAAUACGGAGGGUGCAAGCGUUGUUCGGAAUCACUGGGCGUAAAGCGCGUGCAGGCGGCUCGUUAAGUCUGGUGUGAAAGCCCAGGGCUCACCCCUGGAAGGGCACUGGAUACUGGCGAGCUCGAGUCCCGGAGAGGAGGGUGGAAUUCCUGGUGUAGCGGUGAAAUGCGUAGAUAUCAGGAGGAACACCGGCGGCGAAGGCGGCCCUCUGGACGGUGACUGACGCUGAGACGCGAAAGCGUGGGGAGCAA
RNAcentral lists this ribosomal RNA (425 nucleotides) under uncultured bacterium. RNAcentral's name for it is "bacterial SSU rRNA". It matches the Rfam family "Bacterial small subunit ribosomal RNA", at positions 355 to 771 of the family's 1533-position model. The record is from RNAcentral.